This 28-nucleotide non-coding RNA is filed under the name Mus musculus (house mouse). The record is from RNAcentral. Lineage: Eukaryota; Metazoa; Chordata; Mammalia; Rodentia; Muridae.
UACAUAAAUGGUGACACCUCACAGCUGU